AAUGGGGGAAACCCUGAUCCAGCCAUACCGCGUGAGUGAAGAAGGCCUUCGGGUUGUAAAGCUCUUUCAGCCGGAAAGAAAUCGUGCAGGCUAAUACCCUGUAUGGAUGACGGUACCGGAAGAAGAAGCACCGGCUAACUACGUGCCAGCAGCCGCGGUAAUACGUAGGGUGCGAGCGUUAAUCGGAAUUACUGGGCGUAAAGCGUGCGCAGGCGGUUUUGUAAGACAGAGGUGAAAUCCCCGGGCUCAACCUGGGAACUGCCUUUGUGACUGCAAGGCUGGAGUACGGCAGAGGGGGAUGGAAUUCCGCGUGUAGCAGUGAAAUGCGUAGAUAUGCGGAGGAACACCGAUGGCGAAGGCAAUCCCCUGGGCCUGUACUGACGCUCAUGCACGAAAGCGUGGGGAGCAAA
RNAcentral lists this ribosomal RNA (410 nucleotides) under uncultured bacterium. Its description in RNAcentral is "bacterial SSU rRNA". It matches the Rfam family "Bacterial small subunit ribosomal RNA", at positions 370 to 772 of the family's 1533-position model. The record is from RNAcentral.